GACGAACGCUGGCGGCGUGCUUAACACAUGCAAGUCGAACGGUAAGGCCCUUCGGGGUACACGAGUGGCGAACGGGUGAGUAACACGUGGGUGAUCUGCCCUGCACUUCGGGAUAAGCCUGGGAAACUGGGUCUAAUACCGGAUAGGACCAUGGACUUCACGGUUUGUGGUGGAAAGCUUUUGCGGUGUGGGAUGGGCCCGCGGCCUAUCAGCUUGUUGGUGGGGUAAUGGCCUACCAAGGCGACGACGGGUAGCCGGCCUGAGAGGGUGUCCGGCCACACUGGGACUGAGAUACGGCCCAGACUCCUACGGGAGGCAGC
RNAcentral lists this ribosomal RNA (320 nucleotides) under uncultured bacterium. Its description in RNAcentral is "bacterial SSU rRNA". It matches the Rfam family "Bacterial small subunit ribosomal RNA", at positions 28 to 352 of the family's 1533-position model. The record is from RNAcentral.